RNAcentral lists this ribosomal RNA (377 nucleotides) under uncultured eukaryote. Its description in RNAcentral is "SSU rRNA". It matches the Rfam family "Eukaryotic small subunit ribosomal RNA", at positions 587 to 972 of the family's 1831-position model. The record is from RNAcentral.
AGCUCUGUAAGCGUAUACCAAAGUUGUUGCAGUUAAAACGCUCGUAGUCGGACGUUGGCGGGCGCUGUAUAUCGGCUUCACGGUCGGUUAUGCAGCGGCCGCCUUUGUGGAUGGGGGCUUCGUGGUGCUUCAUUGCCUCGCGUUAGUCGCUGCCACCGUUUACUGUGAAAAAAUUAGAGUGUUCAAAGCGGGCGUUUGCCAUGAAUACAUUAGCAUGGAAUAAUAGAAUAGGACCUGGUCCUGUUUUGUUGGUUUGUGAGUAUCAGGUAAUGAUUAAGAGGGACGGUUGGGGGCAUUUGUAUUCCGGGGUUAGAGGUGAAAUUCUUGGAUCCUCGGAAGACAAACAGCUGCGAAAGCGUCUGCCAAGGACGUUUUCA